Molecule: transfer RNA, 73 nt
Filed under: Candidatus Falkowiibacteriota bacterium
Lineage: Bacteria; Candidatus Falkowiibacteriota
Description: Candidatus Falkowbacteria bacterium tRNA-His
Rfam family: tRNA
About the family: Transfer RNA (tRNA) molecules are approximately 80 nucleotides in length. Their secondary structure includes four short double-helical elements and three loops (D, anti-codon, and T loops).
Source: RNAcentral
GGUGACUAUAGUUUAAUGGUAGAACAGCGGGUUGUGGUCCCGUUGGCGAGGGUUCGAUUCCCUCUAGCCACCC